Molecule: ribosomal RNA, 465 nt
Filed under: Vreelandella stevensii
Lineage: Bacteria; Pseudomonadati; Pseudomonadota; Gammaproteobacteria; Oceanospirillales; Halomonadaceae
Description: partial 16S ribosomal RNA
Rfam family: Bacterial small subunit ribosomal RNA
Source: RNAcentral
CCUACGGGAGGCAGCAGUGGGGAAUAUUGGACAAUGGGGGCAACCCUGAUCCAGCCAUGCCGCGUGUGUGAAGAAGGCCCUCGGGUUGUAAAGCACUUUCAGUGAGGAAGAACGCCUGGUGGUUAAUACCCAUCAGGAAAGACAUCACUCACAGAAGAAGCACCGGCUAACUCCGUGCCAGCAGCCGCGGUAAUACGGAGGGUGCGAGCGUUAAUCGGAAUUACUGGGCGUAAAGCGCGCGUAGGUGGCUUGAUAAGCCGGUUGUGAAAGCCCCGGGCUCAACCUGGGAACGGCAUCCGGAACUGUCAAGCUAGAGUGCAGGAGAGGAAGGUAGAAUUCCCGGUGUAGCGGUGAAAUGCGUAGAGAUCAGGAGGAAUACCAGUGGCGAAGGCGGCCUUCUGGACUGACACUGACACUGAGGUGCGAAAGCGUGGGUAGCAAACAGGAUUAGAUACCCUAGUAGUC